GAGAAGAUAAGCCACAGUAAUUGACAAUUAUUCUCUGAAUGUUUCUCCACAACUGAUGUUAAACUGAUUGCAUUCAUGUGGUGCUAAUGUUCCCAUAAAGUCAAGAAUUCCUGCGGAUUGGCCCACUAAUGGCAAAAGGAACAGAGAUACACGUCCAAGUCAUGAUGGUGCGUGGUAGGAAGAGGAACCAGGAAGUGAUGACUAUCCCUGCAAGAAUGCUGUUCCUUUUUAUUGCUGAUUGGCUGAAAUCAGACAGAAGUGACUUCUAAGGUUGAAUAUGACAUGGAGGAAGCCCAUUGGGAAGCAAGUAUUAAGAAGGGAAGAGUCUUCAGUGUCCAUGACUAAG
Hemiscyllium ocellatum (epaulette shark) is the source of this 346-nucleotide long non-coding RNA. RefSeq lists it as uncharacterized. The transcript has 3 exons. NCBI's taxonomy places the organism in Eukaryota, Metazoa, Chordata, Chondrichthyes, Orectolobiformes, Hemiscylliidae. The record is from RefSeq and is a predicted model, not a curated record.